This 386-nucleotide ribosomal RNA is filed under the name uncultured bacterium. RNAcentral describes it as "bacterial SSU rRNA". It matches the Rfam family "Bacterial small subunit ribosomal RNA", at positions 29 to 416 of the family's 1533-position model. The record is from RNAcentral.
AUUGAACGCUGGCGGCAUGCUUUACACAUGCAAGUCGAACGGCAGCGCGGGGGCAACCCUGGCGGCGAGUGGCGAACGGGUGAGUAAUGCAUCGGAACGUAUCCUGUAAUGGGGGAUAACGUAGCGAAAGUUACGCUAAUACCGCAUACGCUCGAGAGAGGAAAGUGGGGGAUCGCAAGACCUCACGUUAUAGGAGCGGCCGAUGUCCGAUUAGCUAGUUGGUGGGGUAAAGGCCUACCAAGGCGACGAUCGGUAGCUGGUCUGAGAGGAUGAUCAGCCACACUGGGACUGAGACACGGCCCAGACUCCUACGGGAGGCAGCAGUGGGGAGUUUUGGACAAUGGGCGGAAGCCUGAUCCAGCCAUGCCGCGUGAGUGAAGAAGGCC